RNAcentral lists this ribosomal RNA (412 nucleotides) under Entyloma ranunculacearum. RNAcentral describes it as "partial large subunit ribosomal RNA". It matches the Rfam family "Eukaryotic large subunit ribosomal RNA", at positions 75 to 482 of the family's 3401-position model. The record is from RNAcentral. Lineage: Eukaryota; Fungi; Basidiomycota; Exobasidiomycetes; Entylomatales; Entylomataceae.
UUCCCCUAGUAACGGCGAGUGAAGCGGGAAGAGCUCAAAUUUGAAAGCUGUUGCCUUUGGUAACCGCAUUGUAAUCUCGAGAUCUGUUUUCCGCGCUGGACCAUGUACAAGUCCCUUGGAAUAGGGCGUCAUAGAGGGUGAGAAUCCCGUACUUGACAUGGCCUCCCAGUGCUUUGUGAUACAGGCUCAACGAGUCGAGUUGUUUGGGAAUGCAGCUCAAAAUGGGUGGUAAAUUCCAUCUAAAGCUAAAUAUUGGGGAGAGACCGAUAGCGAACAAGUACCGUGAGGGAAAGAUGAAAAGCACUUUGGAAAGAGAGUUAAACAGUACGUGAAAUUGUCAAAAGGGAACCGUUUGAAGUUAGUCAUGCUUGCCUGGACUCAGCCUUGCUUUUGCUUGGUGCAUUUCCAGGUU